CGGGGCGUAGCGCAGUCCGGUUAGCGCGCCUGCUUCGGGAGCAGGAGGUCGGUGGUUCAAAUCCACUCGCCCCGACCA
Molecule: transfer RNA, 78 nt
Filed under: Candidatus Zhuqueibacterota bacterium
Lineage: Bacteria; Pseudomonadati
Description: candidate division KSB1 bacterium (microbial mat metagenome) tRNA-Pro
Rfam family: tRNA
About the family: Transfer RNA (tRNA) molecules are approximately 80 nucleotides in length.
Source: RNAcentral